CCUACGGGUGGCAGCAGUGGGGAAUAUUGCACAAUGGGGGAAACCCUGAUGCAGCAACGCCGCGUGGGUGAAGGAGCGUUUCGGCGCGUAAAGCCCUGUCAGCGGGGAAGAAGAAAGACGGUACCCGACCAAGCAGCCCCGGCUAAAUACGGGCCAGCAGCCGCGGUAAUACGUAGGGGCCGAGCGUUAACCGGUAUUACUGGGUGUAACGGGAGCGUAGACGGCGAGGUAAGCCUGCAGUGGAAGACCGGGGCCCAACCGCGGAACUGCUUUGGGAACGGUCUGGCUUGAGUAUGGGAGGGGUAAGCGGAAUUCGUGGGGUAGCGGUGAAAUGCGUAGAUAUCAGGAGGAACACCGGUGGCGAAGGCGGCGUACUGGACCAUAACUGACGUUGAGGCUCGAAAGCGUGGGGAGCGAACAGGAUUAGAUACCCUUGUAGUC
This 441-nucleotide ribosomal RNA is filed under the name uncultured bacterium. Its description in RNAcentral is "partial 16S ribosomal RNA". It matches the Rfam family "Bacterial small subunit ribosomal RNA", at positions 338 to 795 of the family's 1533-position model. The record is from RNAcentral.